Molecule: ribosomal RNA, 363 nt
Filed under: uncultured Bacillota bacterium
Lineage: Bacteria; Bacillati; Bacillota
Description: bacterial SSU rRNA
Rfam family: Bacterial small subunit ribosomal RNA
Source: RNAcentral
GGCAGACGGGUGAUUAACNCGUGAGAAUUUUCCUUUUAGUGAAGAAUACCUUUGGGAAACUAAAGUUAAUACUGCAUACGUCUCGAAAGAGAGAAAGAUGGCCUAAUUGCUGUCGCUAAAAGAUAAGCUUGCGUUCUAUUAGCUAGUUGGUGAGGUAAUGGCUCACCAAGGCGAUGAUGGAUAGCCGGCCUGAGAGGGCGAACGGCCACAUUGGAACUUAGACACGGUCCAAACUCCUACGGGAGGCAGCAGUGAGGAAUAUUGCACAAUGGGCGAAAGCCUGAUGCAGCGACGCCGCGUGGAGGAUGACGGUCUUCGGAUUGUAAACUCCUGUUAAGUGUGAAAAAAGACUCAUUUUUAAUA